CCUACGGGUGGCAGCAGUGAGGAAUCUUGGUCAAUGGACGAGAGUCUGAACCAGCCAAGUAGCGUGAAGGAUGACUGCCCUAUGGGUUGUAAACUUCUUUUAUAUGGGAAUAAAACAGGGUAUGCAUCCCCUCUUGUAUGUACCAUAUCAAUAAGGAUAGGCUAACGACGUGCCAGCCGCCGCGGUAAUACGUAGGGGGCGAGCGUUAUCCGGCAUGACUGGGCUUAAAGGGUUCGUAGGUUGGUUGGAAAGUUAGUAGCGUAACUCCAAGGCUCAACCUUGGAACGACUACUAAAACUGGUGGACUUGAGUGCAGGAGGGGCAACCGGAAUUCCUAGUGUAGCGGUGGAAUGCGUAGAUAUUAGGAGGAAUACCAGUGGCGAAGGCGGGUUGCUGGACUGUAACUGACACUGAGGCGCGAAAGCGUGGGGAGCAAACAGGAUUAGAUACCCGAGUAGUC
RNAcentral lists this ribosomal RNA (460 nucleotides) under uncultured bacterium. RNAcentral's name for it is "partial 16S ribosomal RNA". It matches the Rfam family "Bacterial small subunit ribosomal RNA", at positions 338 to 795 of the family's 1533-position model. The record is from RNAcentral.